RNAcentral lists this ribosomal RNA (406 nucleotides) under uncultured bacterium. Its description in RNAcentral is "partial 16S ribosomal RNA". It matches the Rfam family "Bacterial small subunit ribosomal RNA", at positions 30 to 526 of the family's 1533-position model. The record is from RNAcentral.
AUUGAACGCUGGCGGCAGGCCUAACACAUGCAAGUCGAACGAGUGGCGGACGGGUGAGUAAUGUCUGGGAAACUGCCCGAUGGAGGGGGCUAACUACUGGAAACGGUAGCUAAUACCGCAUACCAUCGGAUGUGCCCAGAUGGGAUUAGCUAGUAGGUGGGGUAAAGGCUCACCUAGGCGACGAUCCCUAGCUGGUCUGCGAGGAUGACCAGCCACACUGGAAAUGAGACACGGUCCAGACUCCUACGUGAGGCAGCAGUGGGUAAUAUUGCACAAUGGGCGCAAGCCUGAUGCAGCCAUGCCGCGGGUAUGAAGAAGGCCUUCGGGUUGUAAAGUACUUUCAGCGAGGAGGCGUUACUCGCAGAAGAAGCACCGGCUAACUCCGUGCCAGCGGCCGCGGUAAUUC